CAAAAGCUUGGGCGGGCGGUGGCAUACGGUGCUACCAUGCAAGUCGAACCAUGAACCCAUUCGGUGGGGAUUAGUGGCGAACGGGUGAGUAACACGUGGGCAAUCUGCCCUGCACUCUGGGACAAGCCCUGGAAACGGGGUCUAAUACCGGAUACUGAUCCUCGCAGGCAUCUGCGAGGUUCGAAAGCUCCGGCGGUGCAGGAUGAGCCCGCCGCCUAUCAUCUUGUUGGUGAGGUAACGGCUCACCAAGGCGACGACGGGUAGCCGGCCUGAGAGGGCGACCGGCCACACUGGGACUGAGACACGGCCCACACUCCUACGGGAGGCAGCAGUGGGGAAUAUUGCACAGUGGGCGAAAGCCUGAUGCAGCGACGCCGCGUGAGGGAUGACGGCCUUCGGGUUGUAAACCUCUGUUCAGCAGGGAAGAAGCGAAAGUGACGGUACCUGCAAAAGAAGCGCCGGCUAACUACGUGCCAGCAGCCGCGGUAAUACGUAGGGCGCAAGCGUUGUCCGGAAUUAUUGGGCGUAAAGAGCUCGUAGGCGGCUUGUCACGUCGGUUGUGAAAGCCCGGGGCUUAACCCCGGGUCUGCAGUCGAUACGGGCAGGCUAGAGUUCGGUAGGGGAGAUCGGAAUUCCUGGUGUAGCGGUGAAAUGCCGCAGAUAUCAGGAGGAACACCGGUGGCGAAGGCGGCAUCUCUGGGCCGAUACUGACGCUGAGGAGCGAAAGCGUGGGGAGCGAACAGGAUUAGAUACCCUGGUAUUCCACGCCGUAAACGGUGGGCACUAGGUGUGGGCAACAUUCCACGUUGUCCGUGCCGCAGCUAACGCAUUAAGUGCCCCGCCUGGGGAGUACGGCCGCAAGGCUAAAACUCAAAGGAAUUGACGGGGGCCCGCACAAGCGGCGGAGCAUGUGGCUUAAUUCGACGCAACGCGAAGAACCUUACCAAGGCUUGACAUACACCGGAAAACCCCGGAGACAGGGUCCCCCUUGUGGUCGGUGUACAGGUGGUGCAUGGCUGUCGUCAGCUCGUGUCGUGAGAUGUUGGGUUAAGUCCCGCAACGAGCGCAACCCUUGUCCCGUGUUGCCAGCAGGCCCCUGUGGUGCUGGGGACUCACGGGAGACCGCCGGGGUCAACUCGGAGGAAGGGGGGGAGGACGUCAAGUCAUCAUGCCCCUUAUGUCUUGGGCUGCACACGUGCUACAAUGGCCGGUACAAUGAGCUGCGAUACCGCGAGGUGGAGCGAAUCUCAAAAAGCCGGUCUCAGUUCGGAUUGGGGUGUGCAACUCGACCCCAUGAAGUAGGAGUCGCUAGUAAUCGCAGAUCAGCAUCGCUGCGGUGAAUACGUUCCCGGGCCUUGUACACACCGCCCGUCACGUCACGAAAGUCGGUAACACCCGAAGCCGGGGUCCAACCCCCCUGCACGAGCACUGGAGUUACUCUAUGGUGGACCGGGCGAAAUC
Molecule: ribosomal RNA, 1461 nt
Filed under: Streptomyces sp. AMJ7
Lineage: Bacteria; Bacillati; Actinomycetota; Actinomycetes; Kitasatosporales; Streptomycetaceae
Description: bacterial SSU rRNA
Rfam family: Bacterial small subunit ribosomal RNA
Source: RNAcentral